GACAGAGGCCUCAAGCGUUAGGCGGAAUCACUGGGCUUAAAGCGUGCGUAGGCGGAUUGUUAAGUGCAAUGCGAAAUCCUGUGGCUCAACCAUAUGGACUGUAUUGCAUACUGGCAAUCUGGAGGACAUGAGAGGCAAGUGGAAUUACCGGUGUAGCAGUGAAAUGCUUAGAUAUCAUCAAGAACAUCUAUUGCGAAGGCAGCUUGCUAAGCUGAUACUGACGCUGAGGCACGAAAGCGUGGGGAUCGAACAGG
RNAcentral lists this ribosomal RNA (254 nucleotides) under uncultured bacterium. Its description in RNAcentral is "partial 16S ribosomal RNA". It matches the Rfam family "Bacterial small subunit ribosomal RNA", at positions 524 to 776 of the family's 1533-position model. The record is from RNAcentral.